UUAUUUAUUUAUUUUAGUUUGAAUUUUUUUAAAAAGCAACAUUGACAGUCAUGUAUAGUAUAUAAAUAGGGGAAAAAAAAAGAUCUGGGCUCACACACACAAUCCCUGUGCACACUGGAAUUGGUAAGAGGAGACUUACACUUUUUUCUUUAUGUGCUUUUGGCAUUUGGGGCAAAAAAAAAAAAAAAAAUUUCUCCCUUGCCAGUAAUAGAAUCAGCAAGUUCUAUUCUGUGACACAGGAAAAAAAAAUGAGAAAAAAAAAUCUAUACCUAUGGAUUAAUGGAUAAGCAAAGGAAAGAUGAAGAAAAAGGAAAAUGAAGCUUACAAUCUUCAGAUCUGCCCACAUUCUCACCUGCAGUUUUAUGUCUCAAAAUCUGGGUCUGUCUUAUUCAGGUUUCAAGUCACUGGUGUGGAACUCCGUCUUCCUGGGAUUACACAGUGUCAGGAAUGCUGUUGGCAUGAACGCAAUACUAAUAGUAAAGCAACAGGAGGCAUUUUUACAAGAGAGAGCACUCCCCAGAUGGAUUUUGAUAAGGCUCAUGAAUUCUCUCCAAAUGGAUUCUUCUAAGUCAGUCAUUAGAAAUGGUACAAAUUCAUAAACUUCUCUACGGUCAUCUCAUGAGAAGGAAGAUCUCACUACAACAUGUGUCCUGAAUAAGGAAAGCUAUACAAAUUGUUGACAAUAAGGUCUAUGUGGUCAAUCAAUCACCUUGGCAAGAAACAGAACAAAAGCAGAAACAAAAAAGAAAUGCAGAAACAAAUAAUUAUUAGGCGGUCAUGAUUUUUUUUUGAGUUAUUGAAUAUAACUGAUGAGAUUUGCUCUGAAUCUUUCUUGGUGCCCACAAGACUAGAGGAGAAAGCAGAUUUUCCUAAAUCUGAAAAAUUUUGGCACCAUUUCCCAAGUAACUGUACAAAGAGCUCCAUGUAUUGACAGCUCAAAGAUCCUAAGAGAGAUAAUCUUCCAAGAUUUAGAAGAUAAUGACAGAGAAUCAGGACAUUUUCUGAGGAUAAAUGACCAGCUGGAAGGAAUUCACAGCAUUAACGUCAACCAAGUGCCAUUAACCCACCUGUUCCCUGAAAUUGCUCUAGACCGCUUGCCAUGUAUGCUGGACAUGUGCUGUUCCUCAUCCAGGUGGACUGGAGAAGAUGGAACCACUGUUUCUGCAUAAUAGGUUCCGUAAUAUUUUUGUGAGUUCCGUAAUAUAUUUUGUGAAUUUUUUGAAAGUUUCAUUUGAUAGCAAGUACCAUUAGCAGGAAGUUUAACACUGUUCCUGGCAGUUGAGGCUAGAAGGGCAGAGCCAGCAGCCAGCAGGGUGGAGACCUGGCAUGCUGCCCCUAGACUGCUGACUUUGCUCACAAUUUCUAAGGUCUGUGCCUGGGGGUUUUCAACAAAUCCAUAAUCUGGAAAAUCACAGCACUGGAACCUAUCUUAGGGCAACUUUUUGAAAUCAUUAUCAAAAAAAUUUUAGAAGCCGUAAAAGAAUUAAGGUAAAAGAGUGAGAAUUAACUCCCUGAUAGUCUUCAAGAAACUAAUGUUAUUACUUUGUAAGUAAGGUCUUUGCAGUUAUACUCCAAUCUAAGGCGCAUCUUCAAAAUUUCCCUAUUUUCUUUUAAUCAUUAAUGAUAUCCUCUAUUUGUUAUUCUUUUAAAGUGCAGCAUUUCCAGAGUGAAUGAGUAGGAAUUCUUAUUAAGCAGAUAAGCAAAGCAGCAAUGUGAAGACAGUGAGAUUUCU
RNAcentral lists this long non-coding RNA (1732 nucleotides) under Canis lupus familiaris (dog). RNAcentral describes it as "lncRNA (ENSCAFG00845030254.1)". The record is from RNAcentral. Lineage: Eukaryota; Metazoa; Chordata; Mammalia; Carnivora; Canidae.